This is a non-coding RNA of Acanthosepion pharaonis, 109 nucleotides long. Lineage: Eukaryota; Metazoa; Mollusca; Cephalopoda; Sepiida; Sepiidae. The record is from the annotation of a GenBank genome assembly.
UUACGGCCAUAUCACGUUGAAACACCGGCUCUCCUACGAUCAGCGAAGUUAAGCAAUGUCGAUCCUAGUUAGUACCUAGAUGGAAAACCGCUUGGGAAUAUCAGGUGCU